GGAGAAAUUCGCCGCGGUGCGCCAAGACCACCUUCGUCUCCGUCUACUUCUCAAACCUCAUCCGGAAGGUUUCAAUCUCAAGUCAUUCCAUCAUUUUACAUCAAGUUCCUGUAGGACACGUUGGGGUAGGAGGUGCUCUUUUGAAAACCAACACUGCGGAACUUGGAGCUGCCGGGCCUAGAGAAAUUCACUGCGUUGAGCCAAGAC
Long non-coding RNA from Lolium rigidum, 207 nucleotides. RefSeq lists it as uncharacterized. The transcript has 3 exons. The record is from RefSeq and is a predicted model, not a curated record. Lineage: Eukaryota; Viridiplantae; Streptophyta; Magnoliopsida; Poales; Poaceae.